Molecule: ribosomal RNA, 1349 nt
Filed under: metagenome
Description: bacterial SSU rRNA
Rfam family: Bacterial small subunit ribosomal RNA
Source: RNAcentral
AGAGUUUGAUCCUGGCUCAGGAUGAACGCUGGCGGCGUGCUUAACACAUGCAAGUCGAACGAUCCUUCGGGAUAGUGGCGGACGGGUGAGUAACGCGUGGGAAUCUGCCCUCAGGAGGGGGAUAACGGCUGGAAACGGCCGCUAAUACCCCAUAUGCCGAGAGGUGAAAUGAAUUUCGCCUGAGGAUGAGCCCGCGUCUGAUUAGCUAGUUGGUGGGGUAAUGGCCUACCAAGGCAACGAUCAGUAGCUGGUCUGAGAGGAUGAUCAGCCACACUGGGACUGAGACACGGCCCAGACUCCUACGGGAGGCAGCAGUGGGGAAUUUUCCGCAAUGGGCAAAAGCCUGACGGAGCAACGCCGCGUGAGGGAUGAAGGCCUCUGGGCUGUAAACCUCUUUUCUCAAGGAAGAAGACCUGACGGUACUUGAGGAAUAAGCCACGGCUAAUUCCGUGCCAGCAGCCGCGGUAAUACGGGAGUGGCAAGCGUUAUCCGGGAUUAUUGGGCGUAAAGCGUCCGCAGGCGGCCUUGUAAGUCUGUUGUUAAAGCGUGGAGCUCAACUCCAUUUAAGCAAUGGAAACUACAAGGCUGGAGUGUGGUAGGGGCAGAGGGAAUUCCCGGUGUAGCGGUGAAAUGCGUAGAUAUCGGGAAGAACACCAGUGGCGAAGGCGCUCUGCUGGGCCAUAACUGACGCUCAUGGACGAAAGCCAGGGGAGCGAAAGGGAUUAGAUACCCCUGUAGUCCUGGCCGUAAACGAUGAACACUAGGUGUCGGGGGAAUCGACCCCCUCGGUGUCGUAGCCAACGCGUUAAGUGUUCCGCCUGGGGAGUACGCACGCAAGUGUGAAACUCAAAGGAAUUGACGGGGGCCCGCACAAGCGGUGGAGUAUGUGGUUUAAUUCGAUGCAACGCGAAGAACCUUACCAGGGUUUGACAUCCUGCGAACCCCUGAGAAAUCGGGGGGUGCCUUCGGGAGCGCAGAGACAGGUGGUGCAUGGCUGUCGUCAGCUCGUGUCGUGAGAUGUUGGGUUAAGUCCCGCAACGAGCGCAACCCACGUCUUUAGUUGCCAGCAUUCAGUUGGGCACUCUAGAGAGACCGCCGGUGAUAAACCGGAGGAAGGUGUGGAUGACGUCAAGUCAUCAUGCCCCUUACAUCCUGGGCUACACACGUACUACAAUGCUACGGACAAAGGGCAGCAAGCUCGCGAGAGUUAGCAAAUCCCAUAAACCGUGGCUCAGUUCAGAUCGUAGGCUGCAACUCGCCUACGUGAAGGAGGAAUCGCUAGUAAUCGCAGGUCAGCAUACUGCGGUGAAUACGUUCCCGGGCCUUGUACACACCGCCCGUCACACCAU